Molecule: ribosomal RNA, 434 nt
Filed under: uncultured bacterium
Lineage: Bacteria
Description: partial 16S ribosomal RNA
Rfam family: Bacterial small subunit ribosomal RNA
Source: RNAcentral
AGCGAACGCUGGCGGCAGGCCUAACACAUGCCAGUCGAACGAACCUUUCGGGGUUAGUGGCGGACGGGUGAGUAACACGUGGGAACGUGCCUUUAGGUUCGGAAUAACUCAGGGAAACUUGUGCUAAUACCGAAUGUGCCCUUCGGGGGAAAGAUUUAUCGCCUUUAGAGCGGCCCGCGUCUGAUUAGCUAGUUGGUUGAGGUAAUGGCUCACCAAGGCGACGAUCAGUAGCUGGUCUGAGAGGAUGAUCAGCCACAUUGGGACUGAGACACGGCCCAAACUCCUACGGGAGACAGCAGUGGGGAAUCUUGCGCAAUGGGCGAAAGCCUGACGCAGCCAUGCCGCGUGAAUGAUGAAGGUCUUAGGAUUGUAAAAUUCUUUCACCGGGGACGAUAAUGACGGUACCCGGAGAAGAAGCCCCGGCUAACUUCGUG